GCGUGUCUACCGAUUUCACCAUAGCGGC
This 28-nucleotide transfer RNA is filed under the name Adenostyles leucophylla. Its description in RNAcentral is "partial tRNA-Leu". Lineage: Eukaryota; Viridiplantae; Streptophyta; Magnoliopsida; Asterales; Asteraceae. RNAcentral also lists the same sequence under 12 other names. The record is from RNAcentral.